Long non-coding RNA from Cryptotermes secundus, 509 nucleotides. RefSeq lists it as uncharacterized. The record is from RefSeq and is a predicted model, not a curated record. NCBI's taxonomy places the organism in Eukaryota, Metazoa, Arthropoda, Insecta, Blattodea, Kalotermitidae. The transcript has 2 exons.
UCCGUGGCGAGGGUGGCGAACAUGGUGCUUGAUAUCGUUUAUAUCAAUGCUGUGAACAUGGAGGUAUGAUACCGUAUGAUGGGUAUGAUGAGCAUGAUGAGUAUGAUACAGUAGUCGUAUUGUCGUACGAAGUGGUCGAUGUUUAUAUGCCGUGAAGGAAAUUAUGGAUAGGAAAAAGGACAUCGGAAAGUUGCCAGCCCUAAUUGCCAGCAUAAAGAUUGAACCAGGAACUUUAGGAGCAGCCCCAGGACGUCUUCCAUCAUUUGGUGGGCGUCGAGACCUCACUCUUGGAUCAUGUGGCCCAAGCAGAAUAAACCACAAUACUGAAUCAAAGCCCAAAAGAAUAUAUGCACCAAACCUCAAUGUUCAGAGAAACAAAAAUAAAGUGUAUGCAUCAGUCUUUAUUUUGUAAGAAUGUGUAAAUCUGAAUGUUUUGUAGUAUUGGUAAUUGAGUUUAUAAUCAAAAUAGCAUAUAACUUAAUUAUUAAACUGGAAGUUUUGUCAUGUAA